CCUACGGGAGGCAGCAGUGGGGAAUUUUGGACAAUGGGCGCAAGCCUGAUCCAGCAAUGCCGCGUGCAGGAUGAAGGCCUUCGGGUUGUAAACUGCUUUUGUACGGAACGAAAAAGUCUGCCCUAAUACGGUGGGCCCAUGACGGUACCGUAAGAAUAAGCACCGGCUAACUACGUGCCAGCAGCCGCGGUAAUACGUAGGGUGCGAGCGUUAAUCGGAAUUACUGGGCGUAAAGCGUGCGCAGGCGGUUAUAUAAGACAGAUGUGAAAUCCCCGGGCUCAACCUGGGACCUGCAUUUGUGACUGUAUAGCUAGAGUACGGUAGAGGGGGAUGGAAUUCCGCGUGUAGCAGUGAAAUGCGUAGAUAUGCGGAGGAACACCGAUGGCGAAGGCAAUCCCCUGGACCUGUACUGACGCUCAUGCACGAAAGCGUGGGGAGCAAACAGGAUUAGAUACCCUGGUAGUCCACGCCCUAAACGAUGUCAACUGGUUGUUGGGUCUUCACUGACUCAGUAACGAAGCUAACGCGUGAAGUUGACCGCCUGGGGAGUACGGCCGCAAGGUUGAAACGUCAAAGNUAGUGGCGUGAGAGAGACGACGACGACGACGAGGAGGGAGGAGG
Molecule: ribosomal RNA, 621 nt
Filed under: uncultured bacterium
Lineage: Bacteria
Description: bacterial SSU rRNA
Rfam family: Bacterial small subunit ribosomal RNA
Source: RNAcentral